RNAcentral lists this ribosomal RNA (872 nucleotides) under uncultured marine bacterium. RNAcentral's name for it is "bacterial SSU rRNA". It matches the Rfam family "Bacterial small subunit ribosomal RNA", at positions 54 to 922 of the family's 1533-position model. The record is from RNAcentral.
CAUGCAAGUCGUGCGAGAAAGUAUCUUCGGAUAUGAGUAGAGCGGCGGACGGGUGAGUAACGCGUAGGAAUCUACCUAGUAGAAGGGGAUAGCCCGGGGAAACCCGGAUUAAUACCGUAUACCUCCUUCGGGAGAAAGAAGGCCUCUCUUUGAAGCUUUCGCUACUAGAUGAGCCUGCGUAAGAUUAGCUUGUUGGUGAGGUAAAGGCUCACCAAGGCGACGAUCUUUAGCUGGUCUGAGAGGACGAUCAGCCACAUUGGGACUGAGACACGGCCCAGACUCCUACGGGAGGCAGCAGUGGGGAAUAUUGGACAAUGGGCGCAAGCCUGAUCCAGCCAUACCGCGUGUGUGAAGAAGGCCUUCGGGUUGUAAAGCACUUUAAGCAGGGAGAAAAAGUUAUAAGUUAAUACCUUAUAACCCUGAUGUUACCUGCAGAAUAAGCACCGGCUAAUUCCGUGCCAGCAGCCGCGGUAAUACGGAAGGUGCAAGCGUUAAUCGGAAUUACUGGGCGUAAAGCGCGCGUAGGUGGUUUGUUAAGUUGGAUGUGAAAGCCCUGGGCUCAACCUAGGAACUGCAUCCAAAACUAACUCACUAGAGUACGAUAGAGGGAGGUAGAAUUCAUAGUGUAGCGGUGGAAUGCGUAGAUAUUAUGAAGAAUACCAGUGGCGAAGGCGGCCUCCUGGAUCUGUACUGACACCGAGGUGCGAAAGCGUGGGUAGCGAACAGGAUUAGAUACCCUGGUAGUCCACGCCGUAAACGAUGACAACUAGCUGUUGGGAGACUAUGUCUUUCAGUGGCGCAGCUAACGCUUUAAGUUGUCCGCCUGGGGAGUACGGCCGCAAGGCUAAACUCAAAUGAAUUGACGAGGACCC